RNAcentral lists this ribosomal RNA (253 nucleotides) under uncultured bacterium. Its description in RNAcentral is "partial 16S ribosomal RNA". It matches the Rfam family "Bacterial small subunit ribosomal RNA", at positions 524 to 776 of the family's 1533-position model. The record is from RNAcentral.
GACAGAGGGGGCAAGCGUUGCUCGGAAUUACUGGGCGUAAAGGGCGCGUAGGCGGGAUGGUAAGUCGGUCGUGAAAUCCCUCGGCUCAACCGAGGAACGUCGAUCGAUACUACCGUUCUUGAGGAUUGCAGAGGAGACUGGAAUUCCCGGUGUAGCGGUGAAAUGUGUAGAGAUCGGGAGGAGCACCAGUGGCGAAGGCGGCUCACUGGUCCGGUACUGACGCUGAGGUGCGAAAGCGUGGGGAGCAAACAGG